RNAcentral lists this ribosomal RNA (207 nucleotides) under uncultured bacterium. RNAcentral describes it as "partial 16S ribosomal RNA". It matches the Rfam family "Bacterial small subunit ribosomal RNA", at positions 568 to 774 of the family's 1533-position model. The record is from RNAcentral.
CGUGUAGGCGGCUCGAUAAGUUCGAUGUGAAAGCCCUGGACUCAAUCCAGGAAGGGCAUUGAAUACUGUCGAGCUAGAGUAUAGGAGGGGAGAGCGGAAUUCCUGGUGUAGAGGUGAAAUUCGUAGAUAUCAGGAGGAACAACAGCGGCGAAGGCGGCUCUCUGGACUAUAACUGACGCUGAUGCGCGAAAGCGCGGGGAGCAAACA